UGGAACCCUCCUAAAAAAUGGGUGCCAAGAGACAUAACUGGUGUUGUGGGAACAGAAUUGGGAAUCAAUUCAGAGCUCCAGUUACCUUACAUGAACUUUUAGAAUCCAAUCUCAUGUUGAUUCACAAGCUACUGCCUACUCCCAUUGGGAUGAACCUUACUUUGGUAAAGCAACCAUUACUUCAUCAAGAUCUAAUAGAGAUCCUAGGAAAAAUCAAGGAGAAUGGACAGAAAACUCUGUCCUGAAGACUCCACGACGACACCAUGGAACCCUGCUGAUGAAGAUCUUUCGAGGGCAAUCGUCACUCACGGGGUGGUGUAAGAGCCCGUCUGAAGCCCCUCAUUUUCCAUUCUGCCUUCCGAUUGCCACAAGAAAGAAUCCCUUCCUCCACUGCAGUUCCGGCUUAGAACAGGACACAGUGCAGGUGCAACCACUGAACCGUCAUGCUGGCUGAUCCCAACAAGGCCUGGUAAGAACUUGGCAAGGACUUGGCAAGGACUUGGCAAAGACCUGACGUGGACCCAGCACGGGGCAGCCUGAUGCGCGGCCUGCUUCUAAUCUCCGUUCUUAAGCCAAAUGAACUUUUGGGGUGACUCCCGGGGUCCUUCAUUGAAGACCCCUCAUCUGCCUCGUUACCAGUGUGACAAACAAAGAAUGAGAACCCUCCUCCCAAGGACUGAGACUGAGACCCCUGCUAUAGAGAGGAGGGGAAAUUGGUGGUCUGACCACUAAUGACAUGACCUGUUUCCCUUCAGUGAUUCAAAUGGACUUAUUCUUCAUUGGAUUCGUCUUG
This is a long non-coding RNA of Vidua chalybeata, 793 nucleotides long. RefSeq lists it as uncharacterized. The record is from RefSeq and is a predicted model, not a curated record. Lineage: Eukaryota; Metazoa; Chordata; Aves; Passeriformes; Viduidae. The transcript is spliced from 3 exons.